RNAcentral lists this ribosomal RNA (305 nucleotides) under uncultured bacterium. RNAcentral describes it as "bacterial SSU rRNA". It matches the Rfam family "Bacterial small subunit ribosomal RNA", at positions 337 to 634 of the family's 1533-position model. The record is from RNAcentral.
GCCUACGGGGGGCAGCAGUAGGGAAUCUUCCACAAUGGGCGAAAGCCUGAUGGAGCAACGCCGCGUGGGUGAAGAAGGUCUUCGGAUCGUAAAACCCUGUUGUUAGAGAAGAAAGUGCGUGAGAGUAACUGUUCACGUUUCGACGGUAUCAAACCAGAAAGCCACGGCUAACUACGUGCCAGCAGCCGCGGUAAUACGUAGGUGGCAAGCGUUAUCCGGAUUUAUUGGGCGUAAAGGGAACGCCGGCGGUCUUUUAAGUCUGAUGUGAAAGCCUUCGGCUUAACCGGAGGAGUGCAUUGGAAACG